GGGCCCAUAGCUCAGCUGGUAGAGCAUCCGGUUUGCAUCCGGAAGGUCAGGAGUUCAAAUCUCCUUGGGUCCACCA
This 76-nucleotide transfer RNA is filed under the name Candidatus Parcubacteria bacterium. RNAcentral describes it as "tRNA-Ala". It matches the Rfam family "tRNA". Rfam says of the family: Transfer RNA (tRNA) molecules are approximately 80 nucleotides in length. Their secondary structure includes four short double-helical elements and three loops (D, anti-codon, and T loops). Further hydrogen bonds mediate the characteristic L-shaped molecular structure. tRNAs have two regions of fundamental functional importance: the anti-codon, which is responsible for specific mRNA codon recognition, and the 3' end, to which the tRNAs corresponding amino acid is attached (by aminoacyl-tRNA synthetases). tRNAs cope with the degeneracy of the genetic code in two manners: having more than one tRNA (with a specific anti-codon) for a particular amino acid; and 'wobble' base-pairing, i.e. permitting non-standard base-pairing at the 3rd anti-codon position. Lineage: Bacteria; Candidatus Parcubacteria. The record is from RNAcentral.